UACGUAGGGUGCGAGCGUUGUCCGGAUUUAUUGGGCGUAACGAGCUCGUAGGCGGUGUGUCGCGUCGGCCGUGAAAACCUGCAGCUUAACUGUGGGCUUGCGGUCGAUACGGGCAUCACUGGAGUUCGGCAGGGGAGACUGGAAUUCCUGGUGUAGCGGUGAAAUGCGCAGAUAUCAGGAGGAACACCGGUGGCGAAGGCGGGUCUCUGGGCCGAUACUGACGCUGAGGAGCGAAAGCGUGGGGAGCGAACAGG
RNAcentral lists this ribosomal RNA (254 nucleotides) under uncultured bacterium. Its description in RNAcentral is "partial 16S ribosomal RNA". It matches the Rfam family "Bacterial small subunit ribosomal RNA", at positions 524 to 776 of the family's 1533-position model. The record is from RNAcentral.